This 562-nucleotide ribosomal RNA is filed under the name uncultured archaeon. RNAcentral's name for it is "bacterial SSU rRNA". It matches the Rfam family "Archaeal small subunit ribosomal RNA", at positions 319 to 879 of the family's 1478-position model. The record is from RNAcentral.
GCCCUUCUACGGGGCGCACCAGGGGCGAAAACUUUACAAUGCGGGAAACCGUGAUAAGGGGACACCGAGUGCCAGCAACAUUUGUUGGCUGUCCGGGUGUGUAAAAUACACCUGUUAGCAAGGGCCGGGCAAGACCGGUGCCAGCCGCCGCGGUAACACCGGCGGCCCGAGUGGUGAUCGUUAUUAUUGGGUCUAAAGGGUCCGUAGCCGGUUUGGUCAGUCCUCCGGGAAAUCUGAUAGCUCAACUAUUAGGCUUUCGGGGGAUACUGCCAGGCUUGGAACCGGGAGAGGUAAGAGGUACUACAGGGGUAGGAGUGAAAUCUUGUAAUCCCUGUGGGACCACCUGUGGCGAAGGCGUCUUACCAGAACGGGUUCGACGGUGAGGGACGAAAGCUGGGGGCACGAACCGGAUUAGAUACCCGGGUAGUCCCAGCCGUAAACGAUGCUCGCUAGGUGUCAGGCAUGGUGCGACCGUGUCUGGUGCCGCAGGGAAGCCGUGAAGCGAGCCACCUGGGAAGUACGGCCGCAAGGCUGAAACUUAAAGGAAUUGGCGGGGGAGCAC